GAUGAACGCUGGCGGCGUGCCUAAUACAUGCAAGUCGAGCGAACGGACGAGAAGCUUGCUUCUCUGAUGUUAGCGGCGGACGGGUGAGUAACACGUGGAUAACCUACCUAUAAGACUGGGAUAACUUCGGGAAACCGGAGCUAAUACCGGAUAAUAUUUUGAACCGCAUGGUUCAAAAGUGAAAGACGGUCUUGCUGUCACUUAUAGAUGGAUCCGCGCUGCAUUAGCUAGUUGGUAAGGUAACGGCUUACCAAGGCAACGAUGCAUAGCCGACCUGAGAGGGUGAUCGGCCACACUGGAACUGAGACACGGUCCCGACGCCUACGGGAGGGAGCAGUAGGGAAUCUUCCGCAAAGGGCGAAAGCCUUACGGAACAACGCCGCGUGAGUGAUGAAGGUCUUCGGAUCGUAAAACUCUGUUAUUAGGGAAGAACAUAUGUGUAAGUAACUGUGCACAUCUUGACGGUACCUAAUCAGAAAGCCACGGCUAACUACGUG
Molecule: ribosomal RNA, 497 nt
Filed under: uncultured bacterium
Lineage: Bacteria
Description: partial 16S ribosomal RNA
Rfam family: Bacterial small subunit ribosomal RNA
Source: RNAcentral